AUUGAACGCUGGCGGCAGGCUUAACACAUGCAAGUCGAGCGGAGAUGAGGUGCUUGCACCUUAUCUUAGCGGCGGACGGGUGAGUAAUGCUUAGGAAUCUGCCUAUUAGUGGGGGACAACAUUCCGAAAGGAAUGCUAAUACCGCAUACGUCCUACGGGAGAAAGUAGGGGAUCUUCGGACCUUGCGCUAAUAGAUGAGCCUAAGUCGGAUUAGCUAGUUGGUGGGGUAAAGGCCUACCAAGGCGACGAUCUGUAGCGGGUCUGAGAGGAUGAUCCGCCACACUGGGACUGAGACACGGCCCAGACUCCUACGGGAGGCAGCAGUGGGGAAUAUUGGACAAUGGGGGGAACCCUGAUCCAGCCAUGCCGCGUGUGUGAAGAAGGCCUUAUGGUUGUAAAGCACUUUAAGCGAGGAGGAGGCUACUGAGACUAAUACUCUUGGAUAGUGGACGUUACUCGCAGAAUAAGCACCGGCUAACUCUGUGCCAGCAGCCGCCGUAA
This 501-nucleotide ribosomal RNA is filed under the name uncultured bacterium. RNAcentral describes it as "partial 16S ribosomal RNA". It matches the Rfam family "Bacterial small subunit ribosomal RNA", at positions 30 to 523 of the family's 1533-position model. The record is from RNAcentral.